RNAcentral lists this transfer RNA (71 nucleotides) under Candidozyma auris. Its description in RNAcentral is "[Candida] auris tRNA-Met". Lineage: Eukaryota; Fungi; Ascomycota; Pichiomycetes; Serinales; Metschnikowiaceae. The record is from RNAcentral.
ACUUAAUUAAAAGUUAUAAUUUAUAAAAAUAAAGCAUCCAGAAGUUUAUAUAAUAAUUAUACCUGGAUUCG